RNAcentral lists this transfer RNA (70 nucleotides) under Urocitellus parryii (Arctic ground squirrel). RNAcentral describes it as "Spermophilus parryii (Arctic ground squirrel) tRNA". It matches the Rfam family "tRNA". From Rfam's summary of the family: Transfer RNA (tRNA) molecules are approximately 80 nucleotides in length. Their secondary structure includes four short double-helical elements and three loops (D, anti-codon, and T loops). The record is from Rfam by way of RNAcentral. RNAcentral also lists the same sequence under 1 other name. Lineage: Eukaryota; Metazoa; Chordata; Mammalia; Rodentia; Sciuridae.
GGGGUUAUAGCUCAGUUGGUAGAGUGCUUGCCUUGCAUGCACAAAGCCCUGGGUUCAAUCCCCAGCACCA